CCAGGGCGUUUCGAGAAAGAUUAAAAGAAAAAGAAGGAACUCGGCAAAAACUAGCCCCGCCUGUUUACCAAAAACAUCGCCUCUUGAAUUUAUUAGAGGUCCAGCCUGCCCAGUGACUCCUGUUUAACGGCCGCGGUAUUCUAACCGUGCAAAGGUAGCGUAAUCACUUGUUUUCUAAAUAAAGACUAGUAUGAAAGGCACCACGAGGACUAAACUGUCUCCUUUUUCCAAUCAGUGAACCUAAUCUCCCCGUGAAGAAGCGGGGAUUUCAGUAUAAGACGAGAAGACCCUGUGGAGCUUAAAACAUCUAAACAUCUGCUUCAUUUUCCAUCACUCAGGUAUAUUACCCCUCUUGCAAUUUGAUUUAAUGUUUUUGGUUGGGGUGACCGCGGAAAAAAACAGAUCCUCCGCAAUGAAAAGGAAUUCCUUAAACUGUAAGUCACAACUUUACGUAUCAAAAAAUUGACACCAUCGACCCAAUAGUUGAUCAAUGAACCAAGUUACCCCAGGGAUAACAGCACAAUCCACUUCAAGAGUUCAUAUCGACAA
This 549-nucleotide ribosomal RNA is filed under the name Pristimantis luteolateralis (white-striped robber frog). Its description in RNAcentral is "partial 16S ribosomal RNA". It matches the Rfam family "Bacterial large subunit ribosomal RNA", at positions 1673 to 2511 of the family's 2925-position model. Lineage: Eukaryota; Metazoa; Chordata; Amphibia; Anura; Strabomantidae. The record is from RNAcentral.